This is a long non-coding RNA of Oreochromis aureus, 2485 nucleotides long. The record is from Ensembl. NCBI's taxonomy places the organism in Eukaryota, Metazoa, Chordata, Actinopteri, Cichliformes, Cichlidae.
CUGAUUUUCAGGCCGUCUUUUUUUUUAAUCUUUUAUAGUUUUUCUCACGCCGCUCGCAUUCCGCUGGCCUCCGCUCACCUCCCAUUUAUGAAUGAAGCAAACUUGUCAACCAAUCACUUGUGAGCACUACAAACACAUAACACUCCCUCUCCCCCUUUUUGUACAGUCAUCUGGAGGGAGGGGGAGGUAGACAGUUCUUAGCAUCAGUUAGUCAUCACUGUAACUUUCUGCAGCCAGAAGAGCAGAACUCGAAGCUUAAAUGGAUUUUGUCCCACGUUUGUCACUCUGGUGGAUUUUCUUUGGAUACCUCUGCUUUGCUGCUUCUGGAGCUGAACCGUACCAGAAAAACAUCGCAGCUGAUUCUGGGCAGGACGUCAUUCUGCCAUGUCAAGCUCAAAACUACAACAAAGAAAAUUUCCAGUGGAACAGAACUGACUUGGGAGAUGAAGAAUAUGUCUUUUUGCAUCGAGACAAUCUGUCUGUAUUAGAAAAUCAACAUUCAUCUUUUAAGAACCGGGUGGAUCUCCAGGACAGACAGAUGAAGGAUGGAGCUUUGUCUUUGAUUCUGAAGAAUGUGACGACUAAUGACACUGGAACAUACGAGUGUGGUGUUUUUAUAAAUGGAACAAAUGACCCCAUCAGCAUCAUCUCCCUGAGUGUUGAUCCUCCAGGUCAGACAGGAGGACACACAGAGGAUGGAGGGAAGGAGGAUGGAUCUGUUGGACUGAUCGCUGGUCCGUCACUUUCUGCUGUUUGUGGGGUUUUUUCUAUCUACAGAAAACAAACAACGAGCCUCCCACUGAGAUGCAGCCAGUUUGAAAUGUCUGAAUUUUCCCAACUAAAGUCUAAAGUCUCCUGCUGCUCCUCAGAGUUCACACUACUUUCAGUAGCCCAUCUCUGGUGGCCACACAUGGGAGCACAGCUGACACACAUGAACCUAACGACAGGACAGGAGACGUGAAACUAAAUACACUGACAUUGAAUACAGACUUUCAAAGUAAAACAGGAAACAUGGAGAUUAGACAUGACAUGAACUUAACAUAACUGUACAGACAUGAAACCAGGGAGACUGAGUACAGGGGAAGAUGGCAGAAACGACAACAUGACUUGGCAACAUAAGACACACAGACAUAAACACAUGAAGGGCAAGGGAGACUUAAUACAAGGGUAAUAUAAGGACAAAUGGGCUAGAAUACUUAAUGAACCGAAACAAACAAUAAACAUCAAAAUAGACUAAAACUCAAAACACUGGGUCGCACGACCCAGGACCAUGACAUAUAGAUUCCCUUAUUUAAGUCACAACUCAAAACCUACUUGUUUAAACUGGCUUACUUGCUUCAACACAGAUUUUAAUUGCUGUCAAAUUGUGUUUUUUGUCUUGUUUUUUUAUUUUGUUGUUCAUUUUGUUUAGGCCCUGAGCCAUUUCAAACCUAACUGGUGUAAUGUUACAUGCUUAGUCAUACAGUUAAAAGGAGCUUAUUUUCAUUUUUUCAUGAGUAUCUCCUUUGCUGUUACAGAAGUCUGAGCUCAUUUGUUUACAGUAAAUUUUCAUCCUUCUGAUUAAAGUGAAUUAGACCAUCUUUGCUGUAAACCAUGUCAUGUUCAUGGCUCACUGACUUUAUCUCUUCAAUAACAUUUGAUCACGUGUAUGCAAAUCUGCAACUCUAGGAACUUCAUAAGCAGCCUUAGAAAGCUGUUAAAACUCAGUAGACCCGAGCUGCGCUGUGUCAUUAAUGUGCUCCAGUAAAGACUGAAGGCCCUGUUAGGUUUGAGUUUUUUAGUUCAAGCUCAGAGAAACACAGCAACAACUGCCACCUUAAGUCUAUGUCAAGUUCCUGCAUUGGAAAACUACAUAAUGGGAAAUUACCAGGAUCUGCAAGAAACAGGAACUAUAUCAGUACUGUUAGCUGGAUGAGUCAUGGCUUAUAAUUACUGAGGAGUCUGAGGGAGACAGACACACACUGACCACAACAAAAUGUAAUUAAAGAAACACAAACACAUGUAAGUGACAACAAGUCCAUGGGUAACUUGGCUGCAGAGUUAGUGUGAGUGAGAACAAACCCCAACAUAUUACAAACCCAGCAGUUUUCCAGACUGGGAUUUUUUUUACUUCCUUAUUGGAAACAGGACAACUGUUAUAUUUGCAAGUGCAUCUUAUUAGAUUCUGUAACAGUUUUAAUAGCUUGCAAAUCUAGACGAGGGAAUAAAUGGAAUAAAACAUGGACAUUUGAUUCAGUGUGUUCUCAUAAUUGUGUCUUCAUGCUGGAAAAACACUCUCUGAUGUUUCACCCUUUCUACUUCAGUGUGAGCAACUAAAUGGUAAAUGGCCUGUAUUUAUAUAGCGCUUUACUAGUCCCUAAGGACCCCAAAGCGCUUCACAUAUCCAGUCAUUCACACAUUCACACACACAUUCACACACUGGUAAUGGCAAGCUACAUUGUAGCCACAGCCACCCUGGGGCGCACUGACAGAGGCAAGGCUGCCG